AUUAUACCAGCAAUCCAGCCUGAAGGACUUAGCUCAUAGAUGUCUUCUGAAAUGUGGAAGAAAUACUUUCGUUUGUCAUAAAACCUCAGCAGGAGAUUGGAGUCUGGAAGAGGGAGGGGAGAAGAGGAGGACCUCAGGGAGAUUGUUUUGCUUAUUGGUGUUUAAUUAAAAACCAAACAACUUUUCCUAUUAACUUGAUGCUACUUAUUAAUUGAAAUGAGGAGACUGACUCUGGAUAUUGGGAAAAUUUAUGGGCACAUACAGAGGAAAAGACAUGUGGGGACAUAAUGAGAGGACAGCCAUCUGCAAGCCAAGAAGAGAAUCCUCACCAGAAACCAACUUGACUGGAAUCUUGAUCUUGAACUUCUUGCUUCCAGAAUUAUGAGAAAAUAAAUUGUUGUUUAACCCACACAGUCUAUUGUACUUAGUUGUAGCAGUCUGAGAAGACUAAUACAUUGAUAAACUGGUCAGUUACAACAAUGAAUAUAUUAUUUAUACAUUAUAUAAAUGAUUAUAGUUUCUGUAUUAGCUUAGAUUUUGCAAAUUUGUCAAUAGCUUUGUCCAAGUUGAUUUUCUUUAUAUAUUCCUAUUUCAUAGACUAUAUUAGCUAGAUUUGUCAAUCUAUCUUACUCAUAAUGACUGAAGAACACUUUUAAAUUCAAUUUAAAAGGUUUUUGUCACAUAAAGCAACAAAUAUAAAACUAGAAAAAAUAUAAAUAUGAAUAUAAAUUUGAAGGAAAUUAAUAAAAAUCGUAUUGUACCAUAUAUUCCAGAAAUUUUAAACACUGAUGAAAACUUCAAGUGGUACCAAGGAAUGAGAGAAUUGAAGUAAUUCAAGUGUUAUAUUUCA
Molecule: long non-coding RNA, 850 nt
Filed under: Homo sapiens (human)
Lineage: Eukaryota; Metazoa; Chordata; Mammalia; Primates; Hominidae
Description: non-protein coding LINC02428:23
Source: RNAcentral